Loxodonta africana (African savanna elephant) is the source of this 135-nucleotide small nucleolar RNA. Its record names the gene SNORA70. It matches the Rfam family "Small nucleolar RNA SNORA70". Rfam says of the family: snoRNA U70 seems to be exclusive to mammals and is a member of the H/ACA class of snoRNA which contain H (ANANNA) and ACA box motifs. NCBI's taxonomy places the organism in Eukaryota, Metazoa, Chordata, Mammalia, Proboscidea, Elephantidae. The record is from Ensembl.
CUGCAGCUAGUUAAGCUGACUGGCCUACCUCCUUGAUGGGGGCUCAGUGUGCAAUGGCUGCAAACAGCAGGCUCCCUGGUAGUGUGUGCAGUUCACUCCUUGUAUGUGUUGCUCUAAGGGACCUUGGAGACAUCA